CGCAGCCUGAUCCAGCCAUGCCGCGUGAUUGAUGAAGGCCUUAGGGUUGUAAAGAUCUUUCAGAUGGGAAGAUAAUGACGGUACCAUCAGAAGAAGCUCCGGCUAACUCCGUGCCAGCAGCCGCGGUAAUACGGAGGGAGCUAGCGUUGUUCGGAAUUACUGGGCGUAAAGCGUACGUAGGCGGACUAUUAAGUCAGAGGUGAAAUCCCAGGGCUCAACCCUGGAACUGCCUUUGAUACUGGUAGUCUAGAGGUCGAGAGAGGUGAGUGGAAUUCCGAGUGUAGAGGUGAAAUUCGUAGAUAUUCGGAGGAACACCAGUGGCGAAGGCGGCUCACUGGCUCGAUACUGACGCUGAGGUACGAAAGUGUGGGUAGCAAACAGGAUUAGAUACCCUGGUAGUCCACACCGUAAACGAUGAAUGCUAGUCGUCAGGGGACUUGUCCUUUGGUGACGCAGCUAACGCAUUAAGCAUUCCGCCUGGGGAGUACGGUCGCAAGAUUAAAACUCAAAGAAAAUUGGACGGA
This 524-nucleotide ribosomal RNA is filed under the name uncultured Paracoccaceae bacterium. RNAcentral's name for it is "bacterial SSU rRNA". It matches the Rfam family "Bacterial small subunit ribosomal RNA", at positions 376 to 917 of the family's 1533-position model. Lineage: Bacteria; Pseudomonadati; Pseudomonadota; Alphaproteobacteria; Rhodobacterales; Paracoccaceae. The record is from RNAcentral.